Molecule: ribosomal RNA, 534 nt
Filed under: uncultured archaeon
Lineage: Archaea
Description: bacterial SSU rRNA
Rfam family: Archaeal small subunit ribosomal RNA
Source: RNAcentral
AACCUCCGCAAUGNNNGAAACCGCGACGGGGGGACCCCCAGUGCCGUGCCUCUGGCACGGCUUUUCCGGAGUGUAAAAAGCUCCGGGAAUAAGGGCUGGGCAAGGCCGGUGGCAGCCGCCGCGGUAAUACCGGCGGCCCGAGUGGUGGCCACUAUUAUUGGGCCUAAAGCGGCCGUAGCCGGGCCCGUAAGUCCCUGGCGAAAUCCCACGGCCCAACCGUGGGGCUCGCUGGGGAUACUGCGGGCCUUGGGACCGGGAGAGGCCGGGGGUACCCCCGGGGUAGGGGUGAAAUCCUAUAAUCCCGGGGGGACCGCCAGUGGCGAAGGCGCCCGGCUGGAACGGGUCCGACGGUGAGGGCCGAAGGCCAGGGGAGCGAACCGGAUUAGAUACCCGGGUUAGUCCUGGCUGUAAAGGAUGCGGGCUAGGUGUCGGGCGAGCUUCGAGCUCGCCCGGUGCCGUAGGGAAGCCGUUAAGCCCGCCGCCUGGGGAGUACGGCCGCAAGGCUGAAACUUAAAGGAAUUGGCGGGGGAGCAC